This 311-nucleotide ribosomal RNA is filed under the name uncultured bacterium. Its description in RNAcentral is "bacterial SSU rRNA". It matches the Rfam family "Bacterial small subunit ribosomal RNA", at positions 335 to 633 of the family's 1533-position model. The record is from RNAcentral.
ACGUCCUGACGGGAGGCAGCAGGUGGGAAUAUUGCACGAAUGGGCGCAAGCCUGAUGCAGCCAUGCCGCGUGUGUGAAGAAGGCCUUCGGGUUGAUAAAGCACUUUCAGUCGUGAGGAAGGUAGUGUAGUUAAUAGCUGCAUUAUUUGACGUUAGCGACAGAAGAAGCACCGGCUAACUCCGUGCCAGCAGCCGCGGUAAUACGGAGGGUGCGAGCGUUAAUCGGAAUUACUGGGCGUAAAGCGCAUGCAGGUGGUUUGUUAAGUCAGAUGUGAAAGCCCGGGGCUCAAGCCUCGGAAUUGCAUUUGAAAC